Molecule: ribosomal RNA, 1450 nt
Filed under: uncultured organism
Description: 16S ribosomal RNA
Rfam family: Bacterial small subunit ribosomal RNA
Source: RNAcentral
ACGAACGCUGGCGGCGUGCUUAACACAUGCAAGUCGAACGGAAAGGCCCUGCUUUUGUGGGGUGCUCGAGUGGCGAACGGGUGAGUAACACGUGAGUAACCUGCCCUUGACUUUGGGAUAACUUCAGGAAACUGGGGCUAAUACCGGAUAGGAGCUCCUGCUGCAUGGUGGGGGUUGGAAAGUUUCGGCGGUUGGGGAUGGACUCGCGGCUUAUCAGCUUGUUGGUGGGGUAGUGGCUUACCAAGGCUUUGACGGGUAGCCGGCCUGAGAGGGUGACCGGCCACAUUGGGACUGAGAUACGGCCCAGACUCCUACGGGAGGCAGCAGUGGGGAAUAUUGCACAAUGGGCGGAAGCCUGAUGCAGCAACGCCGCGUGCGGGAUGACGGCCUUCGGGUUGUAAACCGCUUUCGCCAUGUGACGAAGCGUGAGUGACGGUAAUGGGUAAAGAAGCACCGGCUAACUACGUGCCAGCAGCCGCGGUGAUACGUAGGGUGCGAGCGUUGUCCGGAUUUAUUGGGCGUAAAGGGCUCGUAGGUGGUUGAUCGCGUCGGAAGUGUAAUCUUGGGGCUUAACCCUGAGCGUGCUUUCGAUACGGGUUGACUUGAGGAAGGUAGGGGAGAAUGGAAUUCCUGGUGGAGCGGUGGAAUGCGCAGAUAUCAGGAGGAACACCAGUGGCGAAGGCGGUUCUCUGGGCCUUUCCUGACGCUGAGGAGCGAAAGCGUGGGGAGCGAACAGGCUUAGAUACCCUGGUAGUCCACGCUGUAAACGGUGGGUACUAGGUGUGGGGUCCAUUCCACGGGUUCCGUGCCGUAGCUAACGCUUUAAGUACCCCGCCUGGGGAGUACGGCCGCAAGGCUAAAACUCAAAGGAAUUGACGGGGCCCCGCACAAGCGGCGGAGCAUGCGGAUUAAUUCGAUGCAACGCGUAGAACCUUACCUGGGUUUGACAUGGAUCGGGAGUGCUCAGAGAUGGGUGUGCCUCUUUUGGGGUCGGUUCACAGGUGGUGCAUGGCUGUCGUCAGCUCGUGUCGUGAGAUGUUGGGUUAAGUCCCGCAACGAGCGCAACCCUUGUUCACUGUUGCCAGCACGUUAUGGUGGGGACUCAGUGGAGACCGCCGGGGUCAACUCGGAGGAAGGUGGGGAUGACGUCAAGUCAUCAUGCCCCUUAUGUCCAGGGCUUCACGCAUGCUACAAUGGCUGGUACAGAGAGUGGCGAGCCUGUGAGGGUGAGCGAAUCUCGGAAAGCCGGUCUCAGUUCGGAUUGGGGUCUGCAACUCGACCUCAUGAAGUCGGAGUCGCUAGUAAUCGCAGAUCAGCAACGCUGCGGUGAAUACGUUCCCGGGGCUUGCACAUACCGCCCGUCAAGUCAUGAAAGUUGGUAACACCCGAAGCCGGUGGCCUAACCGUUGUGGGGGAGCCGUCGAAGGUGGGACUGGUGAUUAGGACUAAG